UUCCGGUUGAUCCUGCCGGAGGCCAUUGCUAUCGGAGUCCGAUUUAGCCAUGCUAGUCGCACGAGCUUAGACUCGUGGCGAAUAGCUCCGUAACACGUGGCCAAACUACCCUCUGGAGCAGGAUAACCUCGGGAAACUGAGGCUAAUCCCGCAUACGGCUCUCCGCCUUGAACGGCCUGAGCCGGAAACGCUCCGGCGCCAGAGGAUGUGGCUGCGGCCGAUUAGGUAGACGGUGGGGUAACGGCCCACCGUGCCGGUAAUCGGUACGGGUUGUGAGAGCAAGAACCCGGAGACGGUAUCUGAGACAAGAUACCGGGCCCUACGGGGCGCAGCAGGCGCGAAACCUUUACACUGCACGCCAGUGCGAUAAGGGGACCCCGAGUGCGAGGGCAUAUAGCCCUCGCUUUUGUACACCGUACUGAGGUGUACGAAUAAGGACUGGGCAAGACCGGUGCCAGCCGCCGCGGUAAUACCGGCAGUCCAAGUGAUGGCCGCUAUUAUUGGGCCUAAAGCGUCCGUAGCCGGCCAGGCAAGUUCGUCGGGAAAUCCACCUGCUCAACAGGUGGGCGUCCGGCGAAAACUGUCUGGCUAGGGACCGGAAGACCCGAGGGGUACGUCCAGGGUAGGAGUGAAAUCCUAUAAUCCUGGACGGACCACCGGUGGCGAAAGCGCCUCGGGAAGACGGAUCCGACGGUGAGGGACGAAAGCUUGGGUCACGAACCGGAUUAGAUACCCGGGUAGUCCAAGCUGUAAACGAUGCUCGCUAGGUGUGGCACAGGCUACGAGCCUGUGCUGUGCCGCAGGGAAGCCGCGAAGCGAGCCGCCUGGGAAGUACGUCUGCAAGGAUGAAACUUAAAGGAAUUGGCGGGGGAGCACUACAACCGGAGGAGCCUGCGGUUUAAUUGGAUGCAACGCCGG
RNAcentral lists this ribosomal RNA (918 nucleotides) under uncultured archaeon. RNAcentral describes it as "bacterial SSU rRNA". It matches the Rfam family "Archaeal small subunit ribosomal RNA", at positions 1 to 921 of the family's 1478-position model. The record is from RNAcentral.